Molecule: ribosomal RNA, 488 nt
Filed under: uncultured bacterium
Lineage: Bacteria
Description: partial 16S ribosomal RNA
Rfam family: Bacterial small subunit ribosomal RNA
Source: RNAcentral
GACGAACGCUGGCGGCGUGCUUAACACAUGCAAGUCGAACGGAAAGGCCCUGCUUUUGUGGGGUGCUCGAGUGGCGAACGGGUGAGUAACACGUGAGUAACCUGCCCUUGACUUUGGGAUAACUUCAGGAAACUGGGGCUAAUACCGGAUAGGAGCUCCUGCUGCAUGGUGGGGGUUGGAAAGUUUCGGCGGUUGGGGAUGGACGCGGGGCUUAUCAGCUUGUUGGGGGGGUAGUGGCUUACCAAGGCUGCGACGGGUAGCCGGCCUGAGAGGGUGAUAGGUCACACUGGAACUGAGAAACGGUCGCGACUACGAAGGGAGGCAGCAGUGGGGAAUGUUGGACAAUGGGGGGAAGCAGGAUACAGCCAUGCCGAGUGUGUGAAGAAGGUCUUAGGAUUGUAAAGAACUUUAAGGGGGGAGGAAGAGGAGUUAGCUAAUAGUUGAGUGUUAUGACGGUACCGAAAGAAGAAGCACCGGCUAACUUCGUG